AUGAGGCGCUCCUCCAAGAAGUCGUCGUCGUCGUCCGCCGCGGCCGGUGAGGAACAAGUAAAUGAAAAACAAAACAGAAAAAGAAAAGGAGUCAGUACAAACCUGACCAGCAGGAAAGCACAACGUGUUCCCACUAAAGCGGUUUCAAAGGAAAUAGAGCGGAUUGACCAACUUUUCUAUACAUAUGCUGAUGGCUCAUCCAGCAUGAUUGACCCAGAAGGCAUCGAAACACUCUGCUCUCAUCUUGAAGUUCCACAUACAGAUGUUCGGAUUCUGAUGUUAGCAUGGAAAAUGGGCUGUGAAAAGCAAGGUUAUUUUACUCUGGAUGAAUGGAGAACUGGGAUGAAAGCUCUGCGAGCUGAUAGCAUCAGUAAACUGAAGAAAGCCUUUCCUGAACUGGUCCAAGAAGUUACGAGGUCCUCUAAUUUCCAGGAUUUCUAUCCAUAUGCAUUCCGUUAUUGCCUAACAGAGGACAAGAAGAAGUGUAUAGAAAUACCUGUUGCUUGUGAGUUAUUGAAUCUAGUGUUGAGCUUGCAGUUCCGCCCGCAGGUUGAAAAACUUAUUAAUUACCUCAAGCAUCAAAAUGAGUACAAGGUUAUAAACAUGGAUCAAUGGAUGGGAUUUCUUCGGUUCUGCAAUGAGAUAAACUUCCCAUCACUUGACAAUUACGAUGCAGACCAAGCUUGGCCUUUAAUUUUAGACAAUUUUGUUGAAUGGUUAAGAGCAAGUGAAAAUUAG
This 738-nucleotide ribosomal RNA is filed under the name Triticum aestivum (bread wheat). RNAcentral describes it as "partial small subunit ribosomal RNA". Lineage: Eukaryota; Viridiplantae; Streptophyta; Magnoliopsida; Poales; Poaceae. The record is from RNAcentral.